This 350-nucleotide unclassified non-coding RNA is filed under the name soil metagenome. Its description in RNAcentral is "partial contains 5.8S ribosomal RNA, internal transcribed spacer 2, and large subunit ribosomal RNA". The stretch from base 1 to 120 matches the Rfam family "5.8S ribosomal RNA", at positions 35 to 154 of the family's 154-position model. The record is from RNAcentral.
GAUGAAGAACGUAGCUAAAUGCGAUAAGUAAUGUGAAUUGCAGAAUUCAGUGAAUCAUCGAAUCUUUGAACGCACAUUGCGCCCGUCGGCACUCCGGCGGGCAUGCCUGUCCGAGCGUCAUUUCAACCCUCAGGACCCCCUUCCGGGGGGGACCUGGCGCUGGGGAUCAGCGGCCUCCGGGCCCCUGUCCCCCAAAUGCAGUGGCGGUCGCGCCGCAGCCUCCCCUGCGUAGUAGCACACCUCGCACCGGAGAGCGGCUCGGCCACGCCGUGAAACCCCCAAUUUUUCAAGGUUGACCUCGGAUCAGGUAGGAAUACCCGCUGAACUUAAGCAUAUCAAUAAGCGGAGGA